CAGAGCAGAACGACCCGCGAACACGUUGAAAAGGAUAAGGGCGAAAGCCCCCUGCCCAUGGCCCCCUUGCUUGCGGCGCCGAAGUGAGCUUGCGAAGCAAGAAACGAACCCCGACGCAAUCCGCGUCAAGGAAAACAUUUAACUCGAGGGCGUGUUGUUGUCCCGUCGCGGGUUAGCGCGCGGGCUGACGACCGCUCCUUAGUGAAAAACAAAAACGACUCUCGGCAACGGAUAUCUUGGCUCUCGCAUCGAUGAAGAACGUAGCGAAAUGCGAUACUUGGUGUGAAUUGCAGAAUCCCGUGAACCAUCGAGUCUUUGAACGCAAGUUGCGCCCGAAGCCUUUAGGCCGAGGGCACGUCUGCAUGGGCGUCACGUAUCGCGUCGCCCCCGGGGAGCGGAUAUUGGCCUCCUGUGCCUUGUGGCGUGGUUGGCUCAAACUAGAGUCCCUUGCGUAGGACGCACGACAAGUGGUGGUUGAUAACAAGGCCCUCGCGUCCCGUUGUGCGGCUAUCCUCCGUGGGAUUUGGCUCGUGUGACCCUGAUGCCCCCACACAUGUGGCUGUGCUUCGACCG
This 573-nucleotide ribosomal RNA is filed under the name Campanula jacobaea. Its description in RNAcentral is "eukaryotic LSU rRNA". The stretch from base 217 to 372 matches the Rfam family "5.8S ribosomal RNA". The record is from RNAcentral. Lineage: Eukaryota; Viridiplantae; Streptophyta; Magnoliopsida; Asterales; Campanulaceae.